CAAUAGCGUAUAUUAAAGUUGUUGCGGUUAAAAAGCUCGUAGUUGGAUUUCUGUUGGGAACGACCGGUCCGCCCAUUGGGUGUGUAUCUGGCUUGUUCUCGGCAUCUUCUUGGUGAACGUUGCUGCACUUGACUGUGUGGAGCGCUACCCAGGACUUUUACUUUGAGGAAAUUAGAGUGUUUCAAGCAGGCAUAUGCCUUGAAUACAUCAGCAUGGAAUAAUAAGAUAGGACCUCGGUUCUAUUUUGUUGGUUUCUAGAGCUGAGGUAAUGAUUAAUAGGGAUAGUUGGGGGCAUUCGUAUUUAACCGUCAGAGGUGAAAUUCUUGGAUUUGUUAAAGACGGACUACUGCGAAAGCAUUUGCCAAGGAUGUUUUCAUUGA
RNAcentral lists this ribosomal RNA (380 nucleotides) under uncultured eukaryote. RNAcentral describes it as "partial 18S ribosomal RNA". It matches the Rfam family "Eukaryotic small subunit ribosomal RNA", at positions 592 to 976 of the family's 1831-position model. The record is from RNAcentral.